Molecule: ribosomal RNA, 253 nt
Filed under: uncultured prokaryote
Description: partial 16S ribosomal RNA
Rfam family: Bacterial small subunit ribosomal RNA
Source: RNAcentral
UACGUAGGGUGCGAGCGUUAAUCGGAAUUACUGGGCGUAAAGGGCGCGUAGGCGGCGGGGUAAGUCGGGUGUGAAAUCUCAGAGCUCAACUCUGAAACUGCACUCGAUACUGCUCUGCUUGAGGACUGGAGAGGAGACUGGAAUUCUCGGUGUAGCGGUGAAAUGCGUAGAUAUCGAGAGGAACACCUGCGGCGAAGGCGGGUUGCUGGGCUGACACUGACGCUGAUGCGCGAAAGCCAGGGGAGCGAACGGG